AGAGUUUGAUCAUGGCUCAGGACGAACGCUGGCGGCGUGCCUAAUACAUGCAAGUCGAGCGGAUUGAUGGGAGCUUGCUCCCUGAUAUCAGCGGCGGACGGGUGAGUAACACGUGGGCAACCUGCCUGUAAGACUGGGAUAACUUCGGGAAACCGGAGCUAAUACCGGAUAAUCCUUUUCCUCACAUGAGGAAAAGCUGAACGACGGUUUCGGCUGUCACUUACAGAUGGGCCCGCGGCGCAUUAGCUAGUUGGUGAGGUAACGGCUCACCAAGGCGACGAUGCGUAGCCGACCUGAGAGGGUGAUCGGCCACACUGGGACUGAGACACGGCCCAGACUCCUACGGGAGGCAGCAGUAGGGAAUCUUCCACAAUGGACGAAAGUCUGAUGGAGCAACGCCGCGUGAGCGAUGAAGGCCUUCGGGUCGUAAAGCUCUGUUGUUAGGGAAGAACAAGUAUCGGAGUAACUGCCGGUACCUGACGGUACCUAACCAGAAGCC
This 499-nucleotide ribosomal RNA is filed under the name uncultured Bacillaceae bacterium. Its description in RNAcentral is "bacterial SSU rRNA". It matches the Rfam family "Bacterial small subunit ribosomal RNA", at positions 8 to 492 of the family's 1533-position model. Lineage: Bacteria; Bacillati; Bacillota; Bacilli; Caryophanales; Bacillaceae. The record is from RNAcentral.